CGGACGGGUGAGUAACGCGUGGGUAACCUGCCUUAUACAGGGGGAUAACAACCAGAAAUGGUUGCUAAUACCGCAUAAGCGCACAGGACCGCAUGGUCCGGUGUGAAAAACUCCGGUGGUAUAAGAUGGACCCGCGUUGGAUUAGCUAGUUGGCAGGGCAACGGCCUACCAAGGCGACGAUCCAUAGCCGGCCUGAGAGGGUGAACGGCCACAUUGGGACUGAGACACGGCCCAG
This 235-nucleotide ribosomal RNA is filed under the name uncultured bacterium. Its description in RNAcentral is "partial 16S ribosomal RNA". It matches the Rfam family "Bacterial small subunit ribosomal RNA", at positions 99 to 334 of the family's 1533-position model. The record is from RNAcentral.